AGCACAGGUGCUUCUGGCCAGCUCUCUCACCAAGGAACUUUUGUCUGGAAGAAAAGGGAAGUGAGUCCCACAAAGGAUCAUCAGGCCUCAGACUGGAGCUGCUUCUCUGACUGAAUGAGGAAACUCCACACCACAUUUCCCAAGUGCUGAGAAGGAAGCUGGGUCACAAGGAUGGUGGGAUUCAUCCUCUUUCAUCUCCUCUCUGCCCACAUUCUGUCUGUAGCUUCCAGGACUUCUAUCUGUUCUAACCUUUGACUUUAGUUAAUCGCACAAACUGAAGGCCUCACGCUAACUCA
This is a long non-coding RNA of Eptesicus fuscus (big brown bat), 296 nucleotides long. RefSeq lists it as uncharacterized. NCBI's taxonomy places the organism in Eukaryota, Metazoa, Chordata, Mammalia, Chiroptera, Vespertilionidae. The record is from RefSeq and is a predicted model, not a curated record. The transcript is spliced from 2 exons.